AACGCACCUUGCGCUCCUUGGUAUUCCGAGGAGCAUGCCUGUUUGAGUGUCAUUAAUAUAUAUAUAUCAAACUUCUCUUAUUGAGUGGUUUGGAUGUGGGGGUUUGCUGGCCUUUUUAAAAGGUUCAGCUCUCCUGAAAUGCAUUAGCAGAACAAACCUGUUCAUUGGUGUGAUAACUAUCUACGCUAUUGAAUGUGAGGGGCAGUUCAGCUUUCUAACAGUCCUUGGACAAUUCAUCAUUAAUGUGACCUCAAAUCAGGUAGGACUACCCGCUGAACUUAA
Molecule: unclassified non-coding RNA, 282 nt
Filed under: uncultured Cortinarius
Lineage: Eukaryota; Fungi; Basidiomycota; Agaricomycetes; Agaricales; Cortinariaceae
Description: sequence contains ITS2
Rfam family: 5.8S ribosomal RNA (bases 1-52)
Source: RNAcentral